CUGCUCCGAUAAAUGCUAUUUAUCCUCACUAAUUAACAAAUAUGUCCCGUCUAGGCCACUACACUCUGCAGAAGACCUACAUCUCGCAUGUUCAUAAUCCUACCGUCUAUGCUCACCUUAAAGACUUCUCUAGUGCUGCAUCAUUCCUAUGGAAUGCCCUUCCCCUCUAUGUUAGAUUUUCACUCAGUCUCCACUCCUUCAAAAAAUCUUUGAAAUCUUACUUCUUCAGGAAAGCAUAUCAAUUAAA
Non-coding RNA from Pelobates cultripes (western spadefoot toad), 247 nucleotides. The record is from the annotation of a GenBank genome assembly. NCBI's taxonomy places the organism in Eukaryota, Metazoa, Chordata, Amphibia, Anura, Pelobatidae.